GCUGCUGCUGCUGCUGCUGCACACUGCUUGCACGAGCAGCAGAGUGCGGCAGCAGGUAGCAGAAAGGAGGAGGAGACGGAGGAGGGCGGUCGUGCGGCGUCUGUCAUC
Molecule: small nucleolar RNA, 108 nt
Filed under: Symbiodinium microadriaticum
Lineage: Eukaryota; Dinophyceae; Suessiales; Symbiodiniaceae
Description: Small nucleolar RNA SNORA17
Source: Rfam by way of RNAcentral